AGUGAACGCUGGCGGUAGGCCUAACACAUGCAAGUCGAACGGCAGCACAGAAGAGCUUGCUCUUACGGGUGGCGAGUGGCGGACGGGUGAGGAAUACAUCGGAAUCUACUUUUUCGUGGGGGAUAACGUAGGGAAACUUACGCUAAUACCGCAUACGACCUACGGGUGAAAGCAGGGGAUCUUCGGACCUUGCGCGAUCGAAUGAGCCGAUGUCGGAUUAGCUAGUUGGCGGGGUAAAGGCCCACCAAGGCGACGAUCCGUAGCUGGUCUGAGAGGAUGAUCAGCCACACUGGAACUGAGACACGGUCCAGACUCCUACGGGAGGCAGCAGUGGGGAAUAUUGGACAAUGGGCGCAAGCCUGAUCCAGCCAUACCGCGUGGGUGAAGAAGGCCUUCGGGUUGUAAAGCCCUUUUGUUGGGAAAGAAAAGCAGCAGGUUAAUACCCCGCUGUUCUGACGGUACCCAAAGAAUAAGCACCGGCUAACUUCGUG
This 491-nucleotide ribosomal RNA is filed under the name uncultured bacterium. Its description in RNAcentral is "partial 16S ribosomal RNA". It matches the Rfam family "Bacterial small subunit ribosomal RNA", at positions 29 to 507 of the family's 1533-position model. The record is from RNAcentral.